RNAcentral lists this ribosomal RNA (377 nucleotides) under uncultured bacterium. RNAcentral describes it as "bacterial SSU rRNA". It matches the Rfam family "Bacterial small subunit ribosomal RNA", at positions 524 to 898 of the family's 1533-position model. The record is from RNAcentral.
UACGUAGGGUGCAAGCGUUGUCCGGAAUUAUUGGGCGUAAAGAGCUCGUAGGCGGCUUGUCACGUCUGCUGUGAAAACUUGGGGCUCAACUCCAAGCCUGCAGUGGAUACGGGCUAGCUAGAGUGCGGUAGGGGAGACUGGAAUUCCUGGUGUAGCGGUGAAAUGCGCAGAUAUCAGGAGGAACACCGGUGGCGAAGGCGGGUCUCUGGACCGAUACUGACGCUGAGGAGCGAAAGCGUGGGGAGCGAACAGGAUUAGAUACCCUGGUAGUCCACGCCGUAAACGUUGGGCGCUAGGUGUGGGGAACUUUCCACGUUCUCCGUGCCGCAGCUAACGCAUUAAGCGCCCCGCCUGGGGAGUACGGCCGCAAGGCUAAA